AUAUGCCUUUUGGUGGGGGACAACAGUUGGAAACGACUGCUAAUACCGCAUGAUGUCUACGGACCAAAGUGGGGGACCUUCGGGCCUCACGCCAAAAGAUUAGCCCAAGUGGGAUUAGCUAGUUGGUAAGGUAAUGGCUUACCAAGGCAACGAUCCCUAGCUGGUUUGAGAGGAUGAUCAGCCACACUGGGACUGAGACACGGCCCAGACUCCUACGGGAGGCAGCAGUGGGGAAUAUUGCACAAUGGGCGCAAGCCUGAUGCAGCCAUGCCGCGUGUGUGAAGAAGGCCUUCGGGUUGUAAAGCACUUUCAGUAAGGAGGAAAGGUUAAGUUUUAAUAGAGCUUAGCUGUGACGUUACUUACAGAAGAAGCACCGGCUAACUCCGUGCCAGCAGCCGCGGUAAUACGGAGGGUGCGAGCGUUAAUCGGAAUUACUGGGCGUAAAGCGUACGCAGGCGGUUUGUUAAGCGAGAUGUGAAAGCCCCGGGCUCAACCUGGGAACUGCAUUUCGAACUGGCAAACUAGAGUGUGAUAGAGGGUGGUAGAAUUUCAGGUGUAGCGGUGAAAUGCGUAGAGAUCUGAAGGAAUACCGAUGGCGAAGGCAGCCACCUGGGUCAACACUGACGCUCAUGUACGAAAGCGUGGGGAGCAAACAG
This 656-nucleotide ribosomal RNA is filed under the name uncultured bacterium. RNAcentral's name for it is "bacterial SSU rRNA". It matches the Rfam family "Bacterial small subunit ribosomal RNA", at positions 124 to 775 of the family's 1533-position model. The record is from RNAcentral.